This 216-nucleotide ribosomal RNA is filed under the name Glomeromycotina sp. RNAcentral's name for it is "partial small subunit ribosomal RNA". The stretch from base 40 to 216 matches the Rfam family "Eukaryotic small subunit ribosomal RNA", at positions 686 to 864 of the family's 1831-position model. Lineage: Eukaryota; Fungi; Glomeromycota. The record is from RNAcentral.
GGGUCAGUAGGUUGGUCGUGCCACCGGUACGUACUGGUCUCACUGAUUCCUCCUUCCUGAAGAACCGUAAUGCCAUUAAUUUGGUGUUGCGGGGAAACAGGAUUGUUACUUUGAAAAAAUUAGAGUGUUUAAGGCAAGCUAACGCUUGAAUACAUUAGCAUGGAAUAAUGAAAUAGGACGAUCGAUCCUGUUUUGUUGGUUUCUAGGAUUGACGUA